RNAcentral lists this ribosomal RNA (500 nucleotides) under uncultured bacterium. RNAcentral describes it as "partial 16S ribosomal RNA". It matches the Rfam family "Bacterial small subunit ribosomal RNA", at positions 30 to 523 of the family's 1533-position model. The record is from RNAcentral.
AUUGAACGCUGGCGGAAUGCUUUACACAUGCAAGUCGAACGGCAGCACGGACUUCGGUCUGGUGGCGAGUGGCGAACGGGUGAGUACUGUAUCGGAACGUGCCCAGUCGUGGGGGAUAACGUAGUGAAAAUUACGCUAAUACCGCAUACGAGCUAUGGAUGAAAGCGGGGGAUCGCAAGACAUCGCGCGAUUGGAGUGGCCGAUAUCAGAUUAGGUAGUUGGUGGGGUAAAGGCCCACCAAGCCAACGAUCUGUAGCUGGUCUGAGAGGACGACCAGCCACACUGGAACUGAGACACGGUCCAGACUCCUACGGGAGGCAGCAGUGGGGAAUUUUGGACAAUGGGCGAAAGCCUGAUCCAGCCAUUCCGCGUGCAGGAUGAAGGCCCUCGGGUUGUAAACUGCUUUUGUACAGAACGAAAAGGUUUCUACUAAUACUAGGAGCUCAUGACGGUACUGUAAGAAUAAGCACCGGCUAACUACGUGCCAGCCGCCGCCGUAA